Molecule: ribosomal RNA, 388 nt
Filed under: uncultured bacterium
Lineage: Bacteria
Description: bacterial SSU rRNA
Rfam family: Bacterial small subunit ribosomal RNA
Source: RNAcentral
AUUGAACGCUGGCGGCAUGCCUUACACAUGCAAGUCGAACGGUAACGCGGGGGCAACCCUGGCGACGAGUGGCGAACGGGUGAGUAAUACAUCGGAACGUACCCAGUAGUGGGGGAGUAGCUCGGCGAAAGCCGGAUUAAUACCGCAUACGACCCAUGGGUGAAAGCGGGGGAUCGCAAGACCUCGCGCUAUUGGAGCGGCCGAUGUCGGAUUAGCUAGUUGGUGAGGUAAAGGCNCACCAAGGCUACGAUCCGUAGCUGGUCUGAGAGGACGACCAGCCACACUGGGACUGAGACACGGCCCAGACUCCUACGGGAGGCAGCAGUGGGGAAUUUUGGACAAUGGGCGCAAGCCUGAUCCAGCCAUGCCGCGUGUGUGAAGAAGGCCU